Molecule: long non-coding RNA, 258 nt
Filed under: Xyrichtys novacula (pearly razorfish)
Lineage: Eukaryota; Metazoa; Chordata; Actinopteri; Labriformes; Labridae
Source: RNAcentral
AUGUUUUUGCAGUAAUGACCCCCUUAAACAACCAGAGGUCCUUUCCUAAAGUUUAUGGAAAUUUUAGUGAAGGCCUUGGUUUCUUUCCUUGCAAAAUGUAUAGAAAUAAUAAAGCUAAAUACCAUAAAAUGGUCUUGGCAUAUUAGCAGUGAUAUAAAAUAGUGGUUUGAAUAUGAAUGAACAACAAAAAAAAACAUCAACAGAGCCUUUUUGAGUUGGGAUUCUUUCAUUAUCACACAAAAACAGACAUAGACAGAC